AGGAAGUCUCUGCUCUUUCUCCUCUCCACUCUUUCUUCUCUGUGUGUUUUGGUUAGUCAACUGCUAGCUACCAGUGACAGUGAUAGAUAAGGACAUACAGCCAGAGGAAACAGUCAUACAACGCCUUAACAAGAUGUCUAGUGGUCCCUUCUCCUGCUUCUCCAAACAGGAAAUAUUCCUUCUCCAACCUCCACUAUGGUUCUUGUUGCAACAGAAUAUUCUGGCCCCACCAGCCCCAGAUGACCAACCUGGACCCCCAACAGGACCAACGAUCUACCCAGGGCCGAGCUCCUGAUGCUGGGUAUACAUGUCUGCAGCAUGGUCAGUCUCUCAGCCCAGACCACUGUCACUCUACUCUCUCUGUAACUGCACACACUUGUCACAGUGACUUUUCAAUAUGCACUUUGUAUACAACAUGGUACCGUACUCUAUGACCCUGGGCAAGCUGAGGGAAAACCAACCAAGUAAUCUUUCUCUCUCUUCUUUGACCAACAGGUGGCACCAACCUCUAUGAUACAAUCACUUCCUCAGACAAUAAUGACAGUGGUAGUGUACACGUUAUGUUAAGUUUAGCAUGAAUACAGUAUAGAGUUGUUGUUGCAAUUGUUCUUCAUUUGUUUAAUACAGUGCAUUCGUAAAGUAUUCAGACCCGUUGUCUUUUUCCACAUUUUGUUAGGUUACAGCCUUUUUCUAAAAUUGAUGAACAUUUUUUUUCCCUCAUCAAUCUACACACAAUAGCCCAUAAUGACAAAGAAAAACAGGUUUUUAGACAUUUUUGCUCAUUUAUUAAAAACAAAAAACAGAUAUCACAUUUACAUAAGUAUUCAGACUAUUUACUCAAGACUUUGUUGAAGCACCUUUGGCAGCAAUUACAGCCUCAAGUUUUAUUGGGUAUGAUGCUACAAACUUGGCACACCCGUAUUUGGGGAGUUUCUCCCAUUCUUCUCUGCAGAUCCUCUCAAGCUCUGUCAGGUUGGAUGUGGAGCGUUUCUCGAUCGAGUUCAAAUCCGGACUCUGGCUGUACGGACAAUUCCUUCGACCUCAUGGCUUGGUUUUUGCUCUGACAUGCCCUGUCAACUGUGAGACCUUAUAUAGACAGGCCUUUCCAAAUCAUAAAAAAUAAAUAAUCCAAUCAUGUUGUAGAAACAUCUUAAGGAUGAUCAAUGGAAACAGAAUGCACCUGAGUUCAAGUCUCAUAGCAAAGGGUCUCAAUACUUAUGCAAAUAAGGUAUUUCUGUUUUUUGUAUUUUUUUGUAUUCCUUUGCAAAAAUUAUACAAAUCUGUUUUUGCUUUGUCAUUAUGGGGUAUUGUGUGUAGAUUGCUGAGGAUUUGUAUUUAUUUAAUCCAUUUUAGAAUAAGGCUGUAACGUAACAAAAUGUUGGAAAAAGUCAAGGGGUCUGAAUACUUUCCGAAGGCACUGUAUAACUAGCAUACUAAGACUAAUUAGCGAUAUUAUGUUUCAGAUGCUGGUGCUGCUACUGCUGGAUCAAGUGAUGUGAUGUACGCCCAGAUUCAACUCAAAAAGUUGGGCAAGAAAAAGAAAAAAACCCCACAUCAGGCAGAUUCGGUCUAUUCUCAAGUGAAUCCAGUCACAGCCCCAAGUCCUUGAGGGAUGGAGGGAGGGAAGGAUAGAGAGAAGGAUGGAGGGACACACAAACAGAGCAGAAGCAGAAGGAUACCUGGGAAGGAUUAUUCACGCUCAACGUACGCAAGAAAACACACACACACACACACACACUCACACACACACACACACAC
Molecule: long non-coding RNA, 1758 nt
Filed under: Salmo salar (Atlantic salmon)
Lineage: Eukaryota; Metazoa; Chordata; Actinopteri; Salmoniformes; Salmonidae
Description: lncRNA (ENSSSAG00000091109.1)
Source: RNAcentral